GAGGUAUUAUCCUCAUCUCCAUUUUACAGAUGAGGAAACUGAGGUUGAAAGAUAUUAAAGUGACUUGUCAAGGAUCACAUAGCUGGUCAAUAUCUGAGACUGAAUUUGAACUCUGGCCUUCUUGUUUCUAGGACUAAUGCUCUAUCCACUGUAUAUGUCAGUCUGAGAAAUAUGGGGAAACUUUCUGGGUGGACCUAGAAAGCCAACUGCUGCAGAGGGCCUUCAAGGAUCUGAAACAAUAAGAAAUUCUUGGUUCAUUUUUCUCAAAAAUAAAGGUGUCCUCCAAGAAUGGAUGUCAUGGACUCUUACCAUCAGAAUGAGAUAGGAGGAAACUCUUCUUCUACUAUUAAAGGAUGCCUGGCUUUAACUACAGCUGGAAAGCAAAUAAGGAGUAGAAGACCUUCCUAUCAGCUUGCUGAUAAAUUGCCAGCCCCCCUGGCUUACUAAUUCUGGAGUAAGAAACAGUUAGUGAAAGGCAGCUCCAAAAAGAGUGACCACUGGAAGCAAAGAAGAGAGCCAAAUAUGGAUUCAAGACAGUUAGGAGUCGAGUUGUGAAAAGAAACAAGCCCAGGUAGCCUGGAUGAACUGUCUGCCCAACAGAGAUGCUGAACCCAGCCUAAGAUCACCAUGAGAAACAAGAUAUGCAAUGUUGGAAGGAUGAGUUAUUUUGGACAUGUGUGUCCCCAUGUGUAUAUAUACUCCACUGCCUAUGUACUCUAAGUUUGUGUUCCCUAUUCCCAUUAACAUUGUGAGAG
This 755-nucleotide long non-coding RNA is filed under the name Monodelphis domestica (gray short-tailed opossum). RNAcentral describes it as "lncRNA (ENSMODG00000043654.1)". Lineage: Eukaryota; Metazoa; Chordata; Mammalia; Didelphimorphia; Didelphidae. The record is from RNAcentral.